UACCAAAGGAUAAUAGUAUUCCGCUGGUCUUAGGCACCAAAAUCCUUGGUGCAAAU
Molecule: transfer RNA, 56 nt
Filed under: Hemorrhois algirus (Algerian whip snake)
Lineage: Eukaryota; Metazoa; Chordata; Lepidosauria; Squamata; Colubridae
Description: partial tRNA-Leu
Source: RNAcentral